RNAcentral lists this ribosomal RNA (754 nucleotides) under uncultured bacterium. RNAcentral's name for it is "bacterial SSU rRNA". It matches the Rfam family "Bacterial small subunit ribosomal RNA", at positions 67 to 807 of the family's 1533-position model. The record is from RNAcentral.
UUGCAUCAUGAUUUACAUUUGAGUGAGUGGCGAACUGGUGAGUAACACGUGGGAAACCUGCCCAGAAGCGGGGGAUAACACCUGGAAACAGAUGCUAAUACCGCAUAACAACUUGGACCGCAUGGUCCGAGUUUGAAAGAUGGCUUCGGCUAUCACUUUUGGAUGGUCCCGCGGCGUAUUAGCUAGAUGGUGAGGUAACGGCUCACCAUGGCAAUGAUACGUAGCCGACCUGAGAGGGUAAUCGGCCACAUUGGGACUGAGACACGGCCCAAACUCCUACGGGAGGCAGCAGUAGGGAAUCUUCCACAAUGGACGAAAGUCUGAUGGAGCAACGCCGCGUGAGUGAAGAAGGGUUUCGGCUCGUAAAACUCUGUUGUUAAAGAAGAACAUAUCUGAGAGUAACUGUUCAGGUAUUGACGGUAUUUAACCAGAAAGCCACGGCUAACUACGUGCCAGCAGCCGCGGUAAUACGUAGGUGGCAAGCGUUGUCCGGAUUUAUUGGGCGUAAAGCGAGCGCAGGCGGUUUUUUAAGUCUGAUGUGAAAGCCUUCGGCUCAACCGAAGAAGUGCAUCGGAAACUGGGGAACUUGAGUGCAGAAGAGGACAGUGGAACUCCAUGUGUAGCGGUGAAAUGCGUAGAUAUAUGGAAGAACACCAGUGGCGAAGGCGGCUGUCUGGUCUGUAACUGACGCUGAGGCUCGAAAGUAUGGGUAGCAAACAGGGAUUAGAUACCCUGGUAGUUCCAUACCGUAAAC